Molecule: ribosomal RNA, 117 nt
Filed under: Sinocyclocheilus grahami
Lineage: Eukaryota; Metazoa; Chordata; Actinopteri; Cypriniformes; Cyprinidae
Source: RNAcentral
UUCAGCAGCCAUAUCACCCUGCAGCCCAAGACUGGUCACCCACUGAAGCUAAGCAGGGUCGAGCCUGGUCAGAACCCAGAUGGGAGACCUGCUGGGAAAACUAGGUUGCUGCUGGAA